RNAcentral lists this transfer RNA (61 nucleotides) under Distenia punctulatoides. RNAcentral's name for it is "tRNA-Cys". The record is from RNAcentral. Lineage: Eukaryota; Metazoa; Arthropoda; Insecta; Coleoptera; Cerambycidae.
GGUUUUGUAGUCAAUUAUGAUAUUAAAUUGCAAAUUUGAAGGUAAAAUUAUUUUCAGAACC